AUCCAGCUGAUGAGUCCCAAAUAGGACGAAAAGCGCGUCAAACUGGAU
Molecule: non-coding RNA, 48 nt
Organism: Schistosoma rodhaini
Lineage: Eukaryota; Metazoa; Platyhelminthes; Trematoda; Strigeidida; Schistosomatidae
Source: Rfam